This 662-nucleotide ribosomal RNA is filed under the name Heteroscodra maculata. RNAcentral's name for it is "SSU rRNA". It matches the Rfam family "Eukaryotic small subunit ribosomal RNA", at positions 622 to 1289 of the family's 1831-position model. The record is from RNAcentral. Lineage: Eukaryota; Metazoa; Arthropoda; Arachnida; Araneae; Theraphosidae.
AAAAGCUCGUAGUUGGAUCUCAGUUCCAGACGGGCGGUCCGCCUAACGGUGGUUACUGCCUGGCCUGAACAGCCAGCCGGUUUCCCUCGAUGAUCUUCACCGGUUGUCCCGGGUGACCGGCACGUUUACUUUGAAAAAAUUAGAGUGCUCAAAGCAGGCGCGUAGCCUGGAUAAUGGUGCAUGGAAUAAUGGAAUAGGACUUCGUUUCUAUUUUGUUGGUUUUCGGAACACGAGGUAAUGAUUAAGAGGGACAGACGGGGGCAUUCGUAUUGCGACGCUAGAGGUGAAAUUCUUGGACCGUCGCAAGACGAACUACUGCGAAAGCAUUUGCCAAGAAUGUUUUCAUUAAUCAAGAACGAAAGUUAGAGGUUCGAAGGCGAUCAGAUACCGCCCUAGUUCUAACCAUAAACGAUGCCAACCAGCGAUCCGCCUGAGUUCCUCAAAUGACUCGGCGGGCAGCUUACGGGAAACCAAAGUGUUUGGGUUCCGGGGGAAGUAUGGUUGCAAAGCUGAAACUUAAAGGAAUUGACGGAAGGGCACUACCAGAUGUGGAGCCUGCGGUUUAAUUUGACUCAACACGGGGCAACUUACCCGGCCCGGACACUGGAAGGAUUGACAGAUUAAGAGCUCUUUCUUGAUUCAGUGGGUGGUGGUGCAUGGCC